Non-coding RNA from Chroicocephalus ridibundus (black-headed gull), 462 nucleotides. The record is from the annotation of a RefSeq genome assembly. Lineage: Eukaryota; Metazoa; Chordata; Aves; Charadriiformes; Laridae.
GUGAAGGUGCAAGCCUCGGGUCCCUCAUGCUCGCAGGUCCCUGGGCACCCCGUGAAGGGAGAGCGUGACAUGGUCCUGAUUUUCCUGUCAGCCCUGGUGGGACUAGCUGACUUUGGUCAUGCCCAAAAGGACUCUGUGCUCCAGUUCCCAGCAGAAAUGACCAUCCAGGCGGGACGCAAGGCAACGCUGCACUGCAAUUUCUCCACCAGCGAUUCCAAUCCCUACAUCUUCUGGUACCAGCAGCACCAGACCCAGUCCCUUCAGAUGCUGCUACAAGUAAGCAAGUACAGAGCUCACGAGGCAUCAGGGAGGUUCUCCUCCACACUGUCUGCAAAGGACUCCCAGGUGCUUCUGCAUGUGCGAGACACCGAGCUCCAGGACAGCGCUGCCUAUUUCUGUGCACUGAGCCCACACUGGUGCCCACAGCUGGCAGCAGUGCACAGAAACGUGGGUGUGCUCUGA